AACGAACGCUGGCGGCAGGCCUAACACAUGCAAGUAGAACGCUGACUACUUUAGCUUGCUAGAGUAGAAGGAGUUGCGAACGGGUGAGUAACGCGUAGGUAACCUGCCUACUAGCGCGGGAUAACUAUUGGAAACGAUAGCUAAUACCGCAUAACAGUGUUUAACACAUGUUAGAUGCUUGAAAGAUGCAAUUGCAUCACUAGUAGAUGGACCUGCGUUGUAUUAGCUAGUUGGUGGGGUAACGGCCCACCAAGGCGACGAUACAUAGCCGACCUGAGAGGGUGAUCGGCCACACUGGGACUGAGACACGGCCCAGACUCCUACGGGAGGCAGCAGUAGGGAAUCUUCGGCAAUGGGGGCAACCCUGACCGAGCAACGCCGCGUGAGUGAAGAAGGUUUUCGGAUCGUAAAGCUCUGUUGUAAGAGAAGAACGUGUGUGAGAGUGGAAAGUUCACACAGUGACGGUAACUUACCAGAAAGGGACGGCUAACUACGUGCCAGCCGCCGCAGUAA
This 513-nucleotide ribosomal RNA is filed under the name uncultured bacterium. Its description in RNAcentral is "partial 16S ribosomal RNA". It matches the Rfam family "Bacterial small subunit ribosomal RNA", at positions 29 to 523 of the family's 1533-position model. The record is from RNAcentral.